This 253-nucleotide ribosomal RNA is filed under the name uncultured bacterium. RNAcentral's name for it is "partial 16S ribosomal RNA". It matches the Rfam family "Bacterial small subunit ribosomal RNA", at positions 524 to 776 of the family's 1533-position model. The record is from RNAcentral.
UACGAAGGGGGCUAGCGUUGUUCGGAAUUACUGGGCGUAAAGCGUGCGUAGGCGGCUGCGCAAGUCGGGUGUGAAACCCCGGGGCUCAACCCCGGAACUGCAUCCGAUACUGCGUGGCUAGAGGUAGGUAGGGGAGAUCGGAAUUCCUGGUGUAGCGGUGAAAUGCGCAGAUAUCAGGAGGAACACCGGUGGCGAAGGCGGGUCUCUGGGCCGAUACUGACGCUGAGGAGCGAAAGCGUGGGGAGCGAACAGG